RNAcentral lists this microRNA (22 nucleotides) under Gallus gallus (chicken). RNAcentral describes it as "gga-miR-6580-5p". The record is from miRBase by way of RNAcentral. Lineage: Eukaryota; Metazoa; Chordata; Aves; Galliformes; Phasianidae.
AGAAUUGACUUCAGUGCUGACU